RNAcentral lists this ribosomal RNA (254 nucleotides) under uncultured bacterium. RNAcentral's name for it is "partial 16S ribosomal RNA". It matches the Rfam family "Bacterial small subunit ribosomal RNA", at positions 524 to 776 of the family's 1533-position model. The record is from RNAcentral.
UACGGGGGGAGCAAGCGUUGUUCGGAUUUACUGGGCGUAAAGGGCGCGUAGGCGGCCACCGCAAGUCGACUGUGAAAUCCCCGGGCUUAACCUGGGAAUGGCAUUCGGGACUGCAAGGCUGGAGUGCGGCAGAGGAGACUGGAAUUCCUGGUGUAGCAGUGAAAUGCGUAGAUAUCAGGAGGAACACCGAUGGCGAAGGCAGGUCUCUGGGCUGACACUGACGCUCAUGCACGAAAGCGUGGGGAGCAAACAGG